GAUGAACGCUGGCGGCGUGCCUAAUACAUGCAAGUCGAGCGAACGGACGAGAAGCUUGCUUCUCUGAUGUUAGCGGCGGACGGGUGAGUAACACGUGGAUAACCUACCUAUAGGACUGGGAUAACUUCGGGAAACCGUAGCUAAUACCGGAUAAUAUUUUGAACCGCAUGGUUCAAAAGUGAAAGACGGUCUUGCUGUCACUUAUAGAUGGAUCCGCGCUGCAUUAGCUAGUUGGUAAGGUAACGGCUUACCAAGGCAACGAUGCAUAGCCGACCUGAGAGGGUGAUCGGCCACACUGGAACUGAGACACGGUCCAGACUCCUACGGGAGGCAGCAGUAGGGAAUCUUCCGCAAUGGGCGAAAGCCUGACGGAGCAACGCCGCGUGAGUGAUGAAGUUCUUCGGAUCGUAAAACUCUGUUAUUAGGGAAGAACAUAUGUGUAAGUAACUGUGCACAUCUUGACGGUACCUAAUCAGAAAGCCACGGCUAACUACGUG
Molecule: ribosomal RNA, 497 nt
Filed under: uncultured bacterium
Lineage: Bacteria
Description: partial 16S ribosomal RNA
Rfam family: Bacterial small subunit ribosomal RNA
Source: RNAcentral